CACUCUCAUCUUUAGCUUUCAUUUAGUCCUAGGAGCAUCUUUACCGGUACUCCAACUUCAAGCGCAGCUUGAGUGAAAGAUAUUCAUGAGCCCAAAAAGUUUGGUGAAGAAAAUGGUACAGCAAGAACAUACCUUCCAGAGAAUGACUCUUGCCCGUCAUGCGCUUAAGUCUAUUCUUCUUCCUUUGUGCUAAUCUUAAGAGGCAUCUUAAGAGCCUAGGUCUUAGGCAUUGGGUGUUCCACUCACCUGCAUGAGUUUCUGCCACUGCCAUAAGAAGAACAUGCCCCAACUGCUCUGCUGGUCCAAGGAGGAUGAAAAAACACAUGCAGCAUGGCCUUCAGGCCAAUCCACAGAACUGCAUCUAAAGAUGGAGGGGCUAUGUAAGAAUGAAUAUGAGUGGCAGCUGACAGCCAGCCAACAACAAAGACCUCAGUCCUACAACCUCAAAGACUGGAUUCUGCCGACACCUUGAAUGAAUUUGAAAGUAGAAUCUUCCCCAGAGCCUUCAGAUAAGAGCCCUGAUGGCUGAUUUCAACUUUGAAAUCAUCUUGAUUUCAACUUUGGAGUAUACUGAACAGAACCCAGAAGUGCCCGCCUGGAUUCUUCACCUACGGAAAUGUGACAGAGAAGUAUUCAAACAAAACACUUCGCAGGAAGGACGACAGUCAAGUGCGAGUGGUGCCUGCAGUGCUGUGGGCCGGAGAGGCAGGAAAGAGACACAGGGAGGAUGACCGCCUAGCACCAGGUCUAUUAAGAUAUUUCUGCAUUUUUCUAAAUUAAUCAUUCCCACAUCUGGGAGAAACAGAGGACAAGAAUUUUUAGCACCUUAUUUAUAAAGGCGGAAAACCCAAAAGCCAGAGAAGAGAAAAUGAAACUGAAGCCCAGAGAGGUUAUAUCUCACCUGAGGCUACACAGGAAAGAAGUGGCAAAGCGAGGACAUGAACCCCAAACUGCCUGACUUUAAGGGCACAGGGCAACCUCUGUGUGGCAGCCAAGGGCUGACCUCAGCACGAGGGCAAUUCCUUAUUAAGUCUGCAUUUCUCUGGGAGUCUGGGCGCCGUGGUCAGAGUGGGCGCCUGUGUGUCCAGCCUCAGGCCGGUCUAAGAACCCAGUAUCCUCGCCUCAUUCUCUGUACUUGGAUCUGACUCUUACCAGGAUGAUUAACGACUGAACUUUCUCUGAAACUCUUCCCACAGAGCCACUCGGUGAAGAGUGAAGAGAGAAAAGACAUGGGAUCCCUGCCUUAUCCUGGGCUCAAGCUCCUUGAAGGCAGGGCACGUCUUUCACAAGUGAGUAUGGCUCAUAGCCCACUCCUGCUUGUUUUCCUAAGCAAAGCAAAAUCUUGCUCUGCCAGAGAAACAAACGAAAGCAUCGUACCAGUUAAAUAAUAUGUAAUAGCUGUAUCAGUAUCCUGUCUUCUCCCAGUCAGCUAACUUUGUAAUGUGUAAAUGCUUAUCGGACAUACAAAAUCAAACUACGUAAACUGUUGUAAAGUGGAAGGAAUGAUUCCGAUCAGUCUGGCAGAGUACAAGGCCACGGGAAUUGUAUUUUGCUUCCCUUUCUGCAGUUGAGGUAGGAGAUAGAUGGGCUCUUGGUCUGGACAGCUGCUGUUUGUCCAGUGGAGUAAAAUUGAAACUCUGUGCUCACCCAGACACUCCAAGGACAAAGCUAGUGUCAGAAACUGAGCUCUGCUCAAGUAAAUAGAUAAGGGGUCCACUCCUUAAGUCAGGGAAAACUUCCCUGUCUGCACAUGCGCGGGAAGGCUCUUGGGCGUCUAAAAGGGAGGGCACCCCAUAAUACCUAUGGACAUGCACCCACAGGCCUCUGUGGUGGGAUCCAUCUUAGCAAAAAGUUGUGCACGCAUCUUGGGGAGGGUCCUAGGACCAGUCAGGUGUAAAAAAAAAAAAAGAAACAAGAUAAUCUGCCAAAGGUAAAGAAAGACCCGGAAGGACUGUCCUGUAUAAGUGAUUUAAAUCACCUCUUUACUGCACUCCUCAUUCAGGAGCCCACACUCCACUCUGGGUGUGUAUUUCUGCCCUGCUUCUGACUUAAAUAAAUAAACUGCUUCCCUGUGUGCUCUCCCAUAUGUUGUGCUGUGUCUCUAAUAAUAAACUUUGUAUCUGGUUUGUGUUUCUUUCCUCCUUGAAACAUUUUUGCUUUCAAAGGGGGUAAGAAUCAGGGAAUUUUGCUUCUAGCCUCUAGCCCCUGCUGGACUGGCGUCUAAGUUCAGUCCCUGGGCAGCGAAAUAAGAUCCUGCUCAAGACUACUGCCCCUCCAAGAACACAGUCAGGAGCCAGGCUGACAUUCUGGACAAUCAUAGCAAAAUGAUUUUCCUGUCCAAGUUUAAAAGGCAUCCAUCCAGUGUUUAUAACUGGUCCCCCCAGUCCACCCCUCAUGCUACCUCCCUCUCAAGUUCCCUCUGCCUUCAAAAGCAAAGGCUGUACCACCAUAGCUUUUGCCUCCAGAGUCGUUAGCAUAUAUUGAGUCUGUUUCAGUAAGGUGUGUUCUGAAGAGACAGAAAAUCCACAUGACUGUCUUUAUCCAUUUUUCAUUACUACAUGGUAAGGAUGACACAACAAGCUAAUUUAGAAAAAGCAUUAAAGAGGGGGCUUAAGAUGGGGAGAGGAAGUGUAGCUUGCAAUGUACAACUUGAAAAGGCAUUCAAGUGUGAGCAAUGCAAAUCUUUGAAAUUGCUUCCGGAUCCACUGUUAUAGGUUACAUUGUCAGCUACCUGUAUUGAUUAUUAUUUUGUAAUUUAUUUGUUAGAAUUUCUGCUAAUGGACACUUCUGAAUCAUCUUCUGCAUUUAAUGUACCUAAUACCCAUUG
This is a long non-coding RNA of Aethalodelphis obliquidens (Pacific white-sided dolphin), 2827 nucleotides long. RefSeq lists it as uncharacterized. Lineage: Eukaryota; Metazoa; Chordata; Mammalia; Artiodactyla; Delphinidae. The record is from RefSeq and is a predicted model, not a curated record. The transcript is spliced from 8 exons.